This 235-nucleotide unclassified non-coding RNA is filed under the name uncultured Alphaproteobacteria bacterium. RNAcentral describes it as "contains 16S-23S intergenic spacer region". Lineage: Bacteria; Pseudomonadati; Pseudomonadota; Alphaproteobacteria. The record is from RNAcentral.
UCCGAGUUGACCCCGGCUCUCACCGGACCGCAGCCGCCAUGUCAAGGGCUGGUAAGGUUCUUCGCGUUGCGUCGAAUUAAACCACAUGCUCCACCGCUUGUGCGGGCCCCCGUCAAUUCCUUUGAGUUUUAACCUUGCGGCCGUACUCCCCAGGCGGUGGGCUUAACACGUUAGCUCCGACACCGAAGGGCAAGCCCCCCGACAUCUAGCCCACAUCGUUUAGGGCGUGGACUAC